UUAAUUUGAGAGUUUGAUCCUGGCUCAGGACGAACGCUGGCGGCGUGCCUAAUACAUGCAAGUCGAACGAACUCUGGUAUUGAUUGGUGCUUGCAUCAUGAUUUACAUUUGAGUGAGUGGCGAACUGGUGAGUAACACGUGGGAAACCUGCCCAGAAGCGGGGGAUAACACCUGGAAACAGAUGCUAAUACCGCAUAACAACUUGGACCGCAUGGUCCGAGUUUGAAAGAUGGCUUCGGCUAUCACUUUUGGAUGGUCCCGCGGCGUAUUAGCUAGAUGGUGGGGUAACGGCUCACCAUGGCAAUGAUACGUAGCCGACCUGAGAGGGUAAUCGGCCACAUUGGGACUGAGACACGGCCCAAACUCCUACGGGAGGCAGCAGUAGGGAAUCUUCCACAAUGGACGAAAGUCUGAUGGAGCAACGCCGCGUGAGUGAAGAAGGGUUUCGGCUCGUAAAACUCUGUUGUUAAAGAAGAACAUAUCUGAGAGUAACUGUUCAGGUAUUGACGGUAUUUAACCAGAAAGCCACGGCUAACUACGUGCCAGCAGCCGCGGUAAUACGUAGGUGGCAAGCGUUGUCCGGAUUUAUUGGGCGUAAAGCGAGCGCAGGCGGUUUUUUAAGUCUGAUGUGAAAGCCUUCGGCUCAACCGAAGAAGUGCAUCGGAAACUGGGAAACUUGAGUGCAGAAGAGGACAGUGGAACUCCAUGUGUAGCGGUGAAAUGCGUAGAUAUAUGGAAGAACACCAGUGGCGAAGGCGGCUGUCUGGUCUGUAACUGACGCUGAGGCUCGAAAGUAUGGGUAGCAAACAGGAUUAGAUACCCUGGUAGUCCAUACCGUAAACGAUGAAUGCUAAGUGUUGGAGGGUUUCCGCCCUUCAGUGCUGCAG
Molecule: ribosomal RNA, 887 nt
Filed under: Lactiplantibacillus plantarum
Lineage: Bacteria; Bacillati; Bacillota; Bacilli; Lactobacillales; Lactobacillaceae
Description: bacterial SSU rRNA
Rfam family: Bacterial small subunit ribosomal RNA
Source: RNAcentral